RNAcentral lists this long non-coding RNA (318 nucleotides) under Olea europaea subsp. europaea. The record is from RNAcentral. Lineage: Eukaryota; Viridiplantae; Streptophyta; Magnoliopsida; Lamiales; Oleaceae.
AUCCUGCCCUAGCUCUUGCUGUUGUUGUAGCGGUAAACAAGAGUAAGCAGGUCAAUAAUCAAAUCCAAGGAAGACUGCCACCUCCUUGGAUUUAAUUCAUUAAUCGAAAAGUGUAAUGGGGUUCUGCGGGCAGUUAAAUAGAUGGUAGAAUGGGGUUGUCCAUGACACAGGAUAACUCAUUUUUUACAUCAGGACCAAGUCUGUUAAGAAUGAGUGAGAUGAUUGGAUCGAUUGAUCUGCUGACAUCUUGAUACCGAGGUGUGAUGGCCCUUGGCUGGAGUUUGGACCUCCAGGUUGCCCUGGUACGUAGAAAUAUUG